RNAcentral lists this ribosomal RNA (316 nucleotides) under Clavispora lusitaniae. Its description in RNAcentral is "partial large subunit ribosomal RNA". It matches the Rfam family "Eukaryotic large subunit ribosomal RNA", at positions 243 to 563 of the family's 3401-position model. Lineage: Eukaryota; Fungi; Ascomycota; Pichiomycetes; Serinales; Metschnikowiaceae. The record is from RNAcentral.
UGUACACCGCGGCUCCGACGAGUCGAGUUGUUUGGGAAUGCAGCUCUAAGUGGGUGGUAAAUUCCAUCUAAAGCUAAAUAUUGGCGAGAGACCGAUAGCGAACAAGUACAGUGAUGGAAAGAUGAAAAGCACUUUGAAAAGAGAGUGAAACAGCACGUGAAAUUGUUGAAAGGGAAGGGCUUGCAAGCAGACACGGUUUUACCGGGCCAGCGUCGAAAAGGGGGGAGGAACAAGAACUCGAGAAUGUGGCGCGCACCUUCGGGCGCGCGUGUUAUAGCUCGUGUUGACGCCUCCAUCCCUUUUCGAGGCCUGCGAU